AGCUUGCUCUUCAAAUCGAGUGGCGAACGGGUGAGUAACGCGUGAGGGACCUGCCUCAAAGAGGGGGGACAACAGUUGGAAACGACUGCUAAUACCGCAUGAUGUGUUCGGAUGGCAUCAUCUGAACAUCAAAGAUUUAUCGCUGAAAGAUGGGCUCGCGUCUGAUUAGAUAGUUGGUGGGGUAACGGCCUACCAAGUCGACGAUCAGUAGCCGGACUGAGAGGUUGAACGGCCACAUUGGGACUGAGAUACGGCCCAGACUCCUACGGGAGGCAGCAGUGGGGAAUAUUGGGCAAUGGAGGAAACUCUGACCCAGCAACGCCGCGUGGAGGAAGAAGGUUUUCGGAUCGUAAACUCCUGUCCUUGGAGACGAGUAGAAGACGGUAUCCAAGGAGGAAGCCCCGGCUAACUACGUG
RNAcentral lists this ribosomal RNA (416 nucleotides) under uncultured bacterium. RNAcentral's name for it is "bacterial SSU rRNA". It matches the Rfam family "Bacterial small subunit ribosomal RNA", at positions 77 to 507 of the family's 1533-position model. The record is from RNAcentral.